GACGAACGCUGGCGGCGUGCUUAACACAUGCAAGUCGAACGGAAAGGCCCUGCUUUUGUGGGGUGCUCGAGUGGCGAACGGGUGAGUAACACGUGAGUAACCUGCCCUUGACUUUGGGAUAACUUCAGGAAACUGGGGCUAAUACCGGAUAGGAGCUCCUGCUGCAUGGUGGGGGUUGGAAAGUUUCGGCGGUUGGGGAUGGACUCGCGGCUUAUCAGCUUGUUGGUGGGGUAGUGGCUUACCAAGGCUUUGACGGGUAGCCGGCCUGAGAGGGUGACCGGCCACAUUGGGACUGAGAUACGGCACAGAAUCCUACGGGAGGCAGCAGUGGGGAAUAUUGCACAAUGGGCGGAAGCCUGAUGCAGCAACGCCGCGUGCGGGAUGACGGCCUUCGGGUUGUAAACCGCUUUCGCCUGUGACGAAGCGUGAGUGACGGUAAUGGGUAAAGAAGCACCGGCUAACUACGUG
This 468-nucleotide ribosomal RNA is filed under the name uncultured bacterium. RNAcentral's name for it is "partial 16S ribosomal RNA". It matches the Rfam family "Bacterial small subunit ribosomal RNA", at positions 28 to 507 of the family's 1533-position model. The record is from RNAcentral.